GGCCUCGUAGCUUGGUGGUAGAGCGCUCCUCUAGCUAAGGAGAAGAUCCAGGUUCGAAUCCGGGUGGGGUCG
Molecule: non-coding RNA, 72 nt
Organism: Colletotrichum gloeosporioides
Lineage: Eukaryota; Fungi; Ascomycota; Sordariomycetes; Glomerellales; Glomerellaceae
Source: Rfam